AGGAUAAACGCUGGCGGCGUGCCUAACACAUGCAAGUCGAACGUCUCUUCUUUCGGGAAGAGGAGUGGCGGACGGGUGAGGAACACGUGGGAACCUGCCCUUCAGUGAGGAAUACCGGCGAGAAAUCGCCGACAAGACCGCAUAGCCCUCUCUGGUGAGAGCCAGAGAAGGAAAGCCUCGCAAGAGGCGCUGGAGGAGGGGCCUGCGUCCGAUUAGCUAGUUGGUGGGGUAAGAGCCUACCAAGGCGUCGAUCGGUAGCUGGUCUGAGAGGACGAUCAGCCACACUGGGAUUGAGAACGGCCCAGACUCCUACGGGGGGCAGCAGUGAGGAAUUUUCGGCAAUGGGGGAAACCCUGACCGAGCAACGCCGCGUGCAGGAAGACGGCCUUCGGGUUGUAAACUGCUUUUCUUUGGACGUAGCAAGGACGGUACCAGAGGAAUCAGCCCGGCUCACUACGCGCCAGCAGCCGC
RNAcentral lists this ribosomal RNA (471 nucleotides) under uncultured bacterium. RNAcentral's name for it is "SSU rRNA". It matches the Rfam family "Bacterial small subunit ribosomal RNA", at positions 26 to 518 of the family's 1533-position model. The record is from RNAcentral.